UGGGGAAUAUUGCACAAUGGGCGCAAGCCUGAUGCAGCCAUGCCGCGUGUAUGAAGAAGGCCUUCGGGUUGUAAAGUACUUUCAGCGGGGAGGAAGGCGAUAAGGUUAAUAACCUUGUCGAUUGACGUUACCCGCAGAAGAAGCACCGGCUAACUCCGUGCCAGCAGCCGCGGUAAUACGGAGGGUGCAAGCGUUAAUCGGAAUUACUGGGCGUAAAGCGCACGCAGGCGGUCUGUCAAGUCGGAUGUGAAAUCCCCGGGCUCAACCUGGGAACUGCAUUCGAAACUGGCAGGCUAGAGUCUUGUAGAGGGGGGUAGAAUUCCAGGUGUAGCGGCGAAAUGCGUAGAGAUCUGGAGGAAUACCGGUGGCGAAGGCGGCCCCCUGGACAAAGACUGACGCUCAGGUGCGAAAGCGUGGGGAGCAAACA
This 427-nucleotide ribosomal RNA is filed under the name uncultured bacterium. RNAcentral describes it as "partial 16S ribosomal RNA". It matches the Rfam family "Bacterial small subunit ribosomal RNA", at positions 355 to 774 of the family's 1533-position model. The record is from RNAcentral.